This 329-nucleotide unclassified non-coding RNA is filed under the name soil metagenome. Its description in RNAcentral is "partial contains 5.8S ribosomal RNA, internal transcribed spacer 2, and large subunit ribosomal RNA". The stretch from base 1 to 120 matches the Rfam family "5.8S ribosomal RNA", at positions 35 to 154 of the family's 154-position model. The record is from RNAcentral.
GAUGAAGAACGUAGCGAAAUGCGAUAAGUAAUGUGAAUUGCAGAAUUCAGUGAAUCAUCGAAUCUUUGAACGCACAUUGCGCCCCUUGGUAUUCCGAGGGGCAUGCCUGUUCGAGCGUCAUUAUAACCCCUCAAGCUCAGCUUGGUGUUGGGGCCUGCUGCACUGGCAGCCCUUAAAAUCAGUGGCGGCGCCAUCUGGCUCUAAGCGUAGUAAUUCUUCUCGCUAUGGAGUCCUGGUGGAUGCUUGCCAUCAACCCCCAAUUUUUCUAUGGUUGACCUCGGAUCAGGUAGGGAUACCCGCUGAACUUAAGCUUAUCAAUAAGCGGAGGA